Molecule: ribosomal RNA, 908 nt
Filed under: Botryosphaeria dothidea
Lineage: Eukaryota; Fungi; Ascomycota; Dothideomycetes; Botryosphaeriales; Botryosphaeriaceae
Description: LSU rRNA
Rfam family: Eukaryotic large subunit ribosomal RNA
Source: RNAcentral
GCAUAUCAAUAAGCGGAGGAAAAGAAACCAACAGGGAUUGCCUUAGUAACGGCGAGUGAAGCGGCAACAGCUCAAAUUUGAAAGCUGGCUCCUUUGGAGUCCGCGUUGUAAUUUGUAGAGGAUGAUUCGGCAAGGGCUCCCGCCUAAGUCUCCUGGAACGGAGCGUCAUAGAGGGUGAGAAUCCCGUAUGCGGUGGGCUGCCUAAGCCAUGUGAAUCUCCUUCGACGAGUCGAGUUGUUUGGGAAUGCAGCUCUAAAUGGGAGGUAAAUUUCUUCUAAAGCUAAAUACCGGCCAGAGACCGAUAGCGCACAAGUAGAGUGAUCGAAAGAUGAAAAGCACUUUGGAAAGAGAGUUAAAAAGUACGUGAAAUUGUUGAAAGGGAAGCGCUUGCAGCCAGACUUGUCCGCAGUUGCUCAGCCGGUCUCCUGACCGGUGUACUCUUCUGCGGCCAGGCCAGCAUCAGUUCGGGCGGUCGGAUAAAGACCUCGGGAAUGUAGCUCCUCUCGGGGAGUGUUAUAGCCCGGGGUGGAAUGCGGCCAGCCUGGACUGAGGAUCUCGCUUCGGCUAGGAUGCUGGCGUAAUGGCUGUAAGCGGCCCGUCUUGAAACACGGACCAAGGAGUCUAACAUCUAUGCGAGUGUUUGGGUGUCAAACCCAUGCGCGUAAUGAAAGUGAACGGAGGUGGGAACCCUCACGGGUGCACCAUCGACCGAUCCUGAUGUCUUCGGAUGGAUUUGAGUAAGAGCAUAGCUGUUGGGACCCGAAAGAUGGUGAACUAUGCCUGAAUAGGGUGAAGCCAGAGGAAACUCUGGUGGAGGCUCGCAGCGGUUCUGACGUGCAAAUCGAUCGUCAAAUUUGGGUAUAGGGGCGAAAGACUAAUCGAACCAUCUAGUAGCUGGUUCCUGCCGA